This 461-nucleotide ribosomal RNA is filed under the name uncultured bacterium. RNAcentral describes it as "partial 16S ribosomal RNA". It matches the Rfam family "Bacterial small subunit ribosomal RNA", at positions 338 to 795 of the family's 1533-position model. The record is from RNAcentral.
CCUACGGGAGGCAGCAGUGAGGAAUAUUGGUCAAUGGGCGCGAGCCUGAACCAGCCAAGUCGCGUGAGGGAAGAAGGCCCUACGGGUUGUAAACCUCUUUUGCCGGGGAGCAACGGGCGCCACGUGUGGCGCCACUGAGAGUACACGGAGAAAAAGCAUCGGCAAACUCCGUGCCAGCAGCCGCGGUAAUACGGAGGAUGCGCGCGUUAUCCGGAUUUACUGGGUGUAAAGGGGGCGCAGGCGGCGAUUCAAGCCAGGCGUGAAAGCUCGGGGGCCAACCCCGGGAUUGCUGUUGAAAUUGGGUGGCUGGAGUGCGGGAGAGGCAGGCGGAAUUCGUGGUGUAGCGGUGAAAUGCGUAGAUAUCAAGAAGAACACCGAUGGCGAAGGCAGCCUGCUGAACUGCAACUGACGUUGAUGCCCGAAAGCGUGGGGAGCAAACAGGAUUAGAUACCCCAGUAGUC